CAAUAAGCGGAGGAAAAGAAACCAACAGGGAUUGCCCCAGUAACGGCGAGUGAAGCGGCAAGAGCUCAAAUUUGAAAUCUGGCCCCUCCCGGGGCCCGAGUUGUAAUUUGCAGAGGAUGCUUCGGGUCCGGCCCCGGUCUAAGUCCCCUGGAACGGGGCGUCACGGAGGGUGAGAAUCCCGUCUGGGACCGUCAGGCCGGCCCCGUGUGAAGCUCCUUCGACGAGUCGAGUUGUUUGGGAAUGCAGCUCCAAAUGGGUGGUAAAUUCCAUCUAAAGCUAAAUACUGGUCGGAGACCGAUAGCGCACAAGUAGAGUGAUCGAAAGAUGAAAAGCACUUUGAAAAGAGAGUUAAACAGCAUGUGAAAUUGUUGAAAGGGAAGCGCUUGCGACCAGACUCGCCCGCGGGGGCUCAGCCGGCAUUCUCUGCCGGUGCACUCCCCCGCGGUCGGGCCAGCGUCGGUUCAGGCGGUCGGUCAAAGGCCCCCGGAAUGUGUCGCCCCUCGGGGCGUCUUAUAGCCGGGGGUGCAAUGCGGCCCGCCCGGACCGAGGAACGCGCUCCGGCACGGACGCUGGCGUAAUGGUCGUAAGCGGCCCGUCUUGAAACACGGACC
This 611-nucleotide ribosomal RNA is filed under the name Arachnomyces nodosetosus. RNAcentral's name for it is "eukaryotic LSU rRNA". It matches the Rfam family "Eukaryotic large subunit ribosomal RNA", at positions 44 to 667 of the family's 3401-position model. The record is from RNAcentral. Lineage: Eukaryota; Fungi; Ascomycota; Eurotiomycetes; Onygenales; Arachnomycetaceae.